This is a non-coding RNA of Deltaproteobacteria bacterium RBG_16_47_11, 75 nucleotides long. NCBI's taxonomy places the organism in Bacteria, Deltaproteobacteria. The record is from Rfam.
GCCGAUAAAGCCAAACCAUGAGCAAUCGUGGGACGGAAAGCCACGGGUCCUACUGGGAUAGCCGGGUUGCCGAGG